CAAGAGCGUAUAUUAAAGUUGCUGCGGUUAAAAAGCUCGUAGUUGGAUUUCAGUCUAGGAGGGUUAACUCGCCGAAAGGUUGUACGUUGAUUUUCCUCAGACUUCGUCAGAAGCUCGUGCUGCACUUAACUGUGUGGUACGAUGUUCUGACCUUUUACCUUGAGGAAAGUAGAGUGUUUCAGGCAGGCUACCCAGCUUGAAUACAUUAGCAUGGAAUAAUGAAAUGGAUCUCGGUUCGAUUUCGUUGGUUCUAGAGCUGAGGUGAUGAUCAAUAGGAACAGGCGAAGGUAUUCGUACUUGAGAGUGAGGAGUGAAAUCCGAUGAUCUCUUAAAGACGAUCCGAGGCGAAAGCAUUUGUCAAGGAUGUUUUCAUUGA
This 376-nucleotide ribosomal RNA is filed under the name uncultured eukaryote. RNAcentral describes it as "partial 18S ribosomal RNA". It matches the Rfam family "Eukaryotic small subunit ribosomal RNA", at positions 592 to 976 of the family's 1831-position model. The record is from RNAcentral.